This 255-nucleotide ribosomal RNA is filed under the name uncultured bacterium. Its description in RNAcentral is "partial 16S ribosomal RNA". It matches the Rfam family "Bacterial small subunit ribosomal RNA", at positions 524 to 776 of the family's 1533-position model. The record is from RNAcentral.
UACGGGGGGGGGUAAGCGUUGUUCGGAAUUACUGGGCGUAAAGGGCUCGUAGGCGGCCAACUAAGUCAGACGUGAAAUCCCCUCAGCUUAACUGGGGAACUGCGUCUGAUACUGGAUGGCUUGGAUUCGGGAGAGGAAUGCGGAAUUCCAGGUGUAGCGGUGAAAUGCGUAGAUAUCUGGAGGAACACCGGUGGCGAAGGCGGCAUUCUGGACCGAUAUUGACGCUGAGGAGCGAAAGCCAGGGGAGCAAACGGG